AUGCAGGGAUCCGUUUCGAGAAUGGGGCCAUGCGGCGGCGGCGGCGGCCACGACAGGGACAUGGACAUGCGCGGCGUGAACCGUGUGGUCAAGCUGGUCGUCCGCCACGGCGACACCGUCGACGCCAUCUCCGUCCUGUACGAGCGGAACGGCCGGGAGGAGUGGACCGACCUGUGGGGAGGACAAGGGGGGACGCUCUCCGAGAUCUGCCUGCGGCCGGACGAGCACUUCACCGGCGUCGUGGGCCACUACGGCGAGUUUGAUGGCAGCUUCGCCGUGAGGUCGCUCACUUUCGUCAGCAACGCCCGCAGCUUCGGGCCGUACGGGCAGGAGGAUGGCGUGCCGUUCGCGCUUCCUGCGGCCGGCGGCAAGAUCCUCGGCUUCCACGCGCGCUCCGGCCGCCGCCUGGACGCGCUCGGCACCUACGUCAAGAUGGCAGAUCUGUCCACGCAGGCCCCACGGAACUGA
Molecule: ribosomal RNA, 468 nt
Filed under: Triticum aestivum (bread wheat)
Lineage: Eukaryota; Viridiplantae; Streptophyta; Magnoliopsida; Poales; Poaceae
Description: partial small subunit ribosomal RNA
Source: RNAcentral